GACGAACCGAGCGAACGUUGUUCGGAAUCACUGGGCUUAAAGGGCGCGUAGGCGGGUGCUCAAGUCCGGGGUGAAAUCCUCCAGCUCAACUGGAGAACUGCCUCGGAUACUGGGUGCCUCGAGUGUGGUAGGGGUGUGCGGAACUAUCGGUGGAGCGGUGAAAUGCGUAGAUAUCAGGAGGAACACCUGUGGUGUAGACAGCUUACUGGACCACUUCUGACGCUGAGACACGAAAGCGUGGGUAGCAAACAGG
Molecule: ribosomal RNA, 253 nt
Filed under: uncultured bacterium
Lineage: Bacteria
Description: partial 16S ribosomal RNA
Rfam family: Bacterial small subunit ribosomal RNA
Source: RNAcentral